CCUACGGGGGGCAGCAGUGGGGAAUAUUGGACAAUGGGGGCAACCCUGAUCCAGCCAUGCCGCGUGUGUGAAGAAGGCCCUCGGGUUGUAAAGCACUUUCAGUGAGGAAGAACGCCUGGUGGUUAAUACCCAUCAGGAAAGACAUCACUCACAGAAGAAGCACCGGCUAACUCCGUGCCAGCAGCCGCGGUAAUACGGAGGGUGCGAGCGUUAAUCGGAAUUACUGGGCGUAAAGCGCGCGUAGGUGGCUUGAUAAGCCGGUUGUGAAAGCCCCGGGCUCAACCUGGGAACGGCAUCCGGAACUGGCAAGCUAGAGUGCAGGAGAGGAAGGUAGAAUUCCCGGUGUAGCGGUGAAAUGCGUAGAGAUCGGGAGGAAUACCAGUGGCGAAGGCGGCCUUCUGGACUGACACUGACACUGAGGUGCGAAAGCGUGGGUAGCAAACAGGAUUAGAUACCCCGGUAGUC
Molecule: ribosomal RNA, 465 nt
Filed under: Vreelandella stevensii
Lineage: Bacteria; Pseudomonadati; Pseudomonadota; Gammaproteobacteria; Oceanospirillales; Halomonadaceae
Description: partial 16S ribosomal RNA
Rfam family: Bacterial small subunit ribosomal RNA
Source: RNAcentral